CAGCAGCCACGGGAAUACGUAGGGUGCAAGCGUUAAUUGGAAUUACUGGGCGUAAAGCGUGCGCAGGCGGUUUGUUAAGACAGAUGUGAAAUCCCCGGGCUCAACCUGGGAACUGCAUUUGUGACUGGCAGGCUAGAGUAUGGCAGAGGGGGGUGGAAUUCCGCGUGUAGCAGUGAAAUGCGUAGAUAUGCGGAGGAACACCGAUGGCGAAGGCAGCUCCCUGGGCCAAUACUGACGCUCAUGCACGAAAGCGUGGGGAGCAAACAGGAUUAGAUACCCCAGUAGUCCCUGUCUCUUAUAC
Molecule: ribosomal RNA, 301 nt
Filed under: uncultured bacterium
Lineage: Bacteria
Description: partial 16S ribosomal RNA
Rfam family: Bacterial small subunit ribosomal RNA
Source: RNAcentral